RNAcentral lists this long non-coding RNA (412 nucleotides) under Setaria viridis. RNAcentral's name for it is "long non-coding RNA (SVIR_LNC008378)". Lineage: Eukaryota; Viridiplantae; Streptophyta; Magnoliopsida; Poales; Poaceae. The record is from RNAcentral.
AAAGAAAAGGAUUUUCAAAAGAACCUUUAAAGAAAAGGAUUUUCAAAAGUUCUGAACCAAAAUUUCAUUUAGAAAUACCUUUGAGCUUUCCAUAAAUCCUAUAGAUUUCUUAUGCAAUGGCUCACGUCAUUGUAGUUCGGGAGGAAUGAGCAUGAGGCUCAACCUCGUUAAAAAUUUCCAAUAUGGUCAUUCUCUCUCCUCAAAUUCAUGUACUUCUAUGCAUCCACCAAACAUUUUAAGUUUUGAAAUCAUCCUUUUAUGUAUAACUACAAUCCAAUUGUGUAUCCCUCUCCAUCGCAUAAUCUGGAUCACGUCCCAAUUGGAUACAAACACCUACUUCUACCCACUAUUUCUCUCUCAUGCGACUCAACAAGUGACUUAAUAACUCCAACCUUCUUCACCUCUUCACUAC